UGGUGGGUAGUUUGACUGGGGCGGUCUCCUCCCAAAGCGUAACGGAGGAGCACGAAGGUUAGCUAAUCCUGGUCGGACAUCAGGAGGUUAGUGCAAUGGCAUAAGCUAGCUUGACUGCGAGCGUGACGGCGCGAGCAGGUGCGAAAGCAGGUCAUAGUGAUCCGGUGGUUCUGAAUGGAAGGGCCAUCGCUCAACGGAUAAAAGGUACUCCGGGGAUAACAGGCUGAUACCGCCCAAGAGUUCAUAUCGACGGCGGUGUUUGGCACCUCGAUGUCGGCUCAUCACAUCCUGGGGCUGAAGUAGGUCCCAAGGGUAUGGCUGUUCGCCAUUUAAAGUGGUACGCGAGCUGGGUUUAGAACGUCGUGAGACAGUUCGGUCCCUAUCUGCCGUGGGCGCUGGAGAAUUGAGGGGGGCUGCUCCUAGUACGAGAGGACCGGAGUGGACGCAUCACUGGUGUUCGGGUUGUCAUGCCAAUGGCACU
RNAcentral lists this ribosomal RNA (481 nucleotides) under Klebsiella pneumoniae. RNAcentral's name for it is "partial 23S ribosomal RNA". It matches the Rfam family "Bacterial large subunit ribosomal RNA", at positions 2259 to 2739 of the family's 2925-position model. Lineage: Bacteria; Pseudomonadati; Pseudomonadota; Gammaproteobacteria; Enterobacterales; Enterobacteriaceae. The record is from RNAcentral.